RNAcentral lists this transfer RNA (74 nucleotides) under Nanobdellota archaeon. RNAcentral's name for it is "tRNA-Arg". It matches the Rfam family "tRNA". From Rfam's summary of the family: Transfer RNA (tRNA) molecules are approximately 80 nucleotides in length. Their secondary structure includes four short double-helical elements and three loops (D, anti-codon, and T loops). The record is from RNAcentral. Lineage: Archaea; Nanobdellati; Nanobdellota.
GUCCCUGUAGUAUAGUCUGGAUAGUACACAACCCUGCGGAGGUUGGAGCCCAGGUUCAAAUCCUGGCUGGGACG